ACAGUCAGAUUCCCCCCAUCAGUUGCAACUAACUUGAUUUUGAUGGAUUAAAAGAAGAUGAAAAUCUACUCAGCUCCUCCCUUUGAAGUGCAGGGAUCAUUAAGAUAACAAACAAAUAGCCAUAAAACACAGACUUGAUUCAUUCCAAAGACAGUUGUGCCAUAGUAAAUCAUCUCAAGCAGUGAACAUUGCAUACACCAGCCUUUUAUCGGACAUGUUCUCCUGCCAAUUCUCUCAGCCAUAUGCUAGUCGGGGCAUGGAAAUUGAAGACCACUCUAUUUGUAGGGCAUCAAGCUGGUAAACAUUGAACUUCCACACCAGUGGUGAUAUUCAGCCGGUUCUAUCCGGCUCGAGAGAAUUGGUUGCGGCGGCUGUGGAAGGCUCCGCUCACCCACCCGGAUGUCAUCAUUUCCUGUUUUUGACGAUCUGUGCAUGCGCGGAAGUCCCUGUGCAUGUGCGCUCACAUUUGCGAACCGGUAGCGAAGAUUUUGGCCCAGCAACUCAAAGCUGAAGAACUCAGCUGGUGACAAGCAACUCAUCUGCCACCAAUGGAGAGGCAUCUGCUGCAUUAAAGCAAAUUAUCUGGAAAGAGA
This is a long non-coding RNA of Pantherophis guttatus, 593 nucleotides long. RefSeq lists it as uncharacterized. Lineage: Eukaryota; Metazoa; Chordata; Lepidosauria; Squamata; Colubridae. The record is from RefSeq and is a predicted model, not a curated record.